Molecule: long non-coding RNA, 1355 nt
Filed under: Triticum aestivum (bread wheat)
Lineage: Eukaryota; Viridiplantae; Streptophyta; Magnoliopsida; Poales; Poaceae
Description: long non-coding RNA (TAES_LNC010096)
Source: RNAcentral
UAUAUUGGAUUAAAAUGUUGGUUUACAAUAGUGGAUAUUACACGAGGAACAUCAUCCCAAUGUGAUCCAUAAUCUAAAUAUUUUGUUGAUAUCCCUACAACUUAACUAAAACUUAACCGAGGAACAUCAUCCAACAGGAACAACAGCCCUUCCCUACAACUUAACCAAAACUAAAGGCAUCCAUCAUCAUCAUCAUCAUCAUCAUCAUGAACCGUAGCAUCAUCAUCAUUGCAUUAUACUUGCCACACACCCAUAUAAUCAUCCAUAUAUCUUCUGAAUCUACAAAGAAAAUAACAAAAUGAACUAUUAACACACAAUGAUUUGACAUCAUGCAACUAGUGACAGAGGCAGGUUAUUAGUCACGUACAAAUUUUAAAGGCCAUGCAAUCUUUGUUAUACAUAAAAAAUUACUAGCAUACAUAGCAGAUGGGAAUGCAUUCAUAACUUACCUCAAGGUGAUCAUUGACCCGUUAGUAAUAGUUUUCUUACCUUUUCUUUGAGGGGUUCAGGUUACAUACUUAAACUAUAUGAGCCUAAUAUGAGUGUCUUCGUGUAUGGCAGAAAGUUAGUGUUAACAUUUGCUUUGAUUGAUUCCAAUGUCAAACAUAUGAAAUGGGACAAAGACACAUUUUGUACGGCAUGUGGUGCGAAAUCUGUUGGAGCAGCACGAACCUGCACCAAUUGUUGGCGUCCCUUCUCCCACCUCCUUGUGAGAUCCUGGUCCAAGCAUGAGUACAAUAUAUCAGAGUACAAAUAGACUUUCAGUUUGUGCUUGUAAACAUAAUUUAAAUAUUAGUUACACACCAAUUGUGGUAAAGGGCCUAAUUAAGUUAUUCAACACAUCAUGCUGGUUAACAUGGUAAUUCGUGUUUGGGUAAAAAUAAAUUAGUCCGGACAAAAUCACUGCCUAUGCAGUAUAUAUAGACAGCCAGAAAGACCUAAAUAUGAAAUCGUUACGAAACAAUGGAGAGACAUGCUUACAUUUUUUUUGAAGCUACAGACUUUUCACACAGCAAGGUAUAUAUGCAGUGACCAGGAAUAAUCACAACAAUUCUUUAAUUGGAGUGUGAACAAUUUGCAAAAGACAUACAGCUAACGCAAUUCAAAAAGCAUUGUGCACACAUCUUUUAUUGUUUCAGAACAUGAAAAGGGCGGGAAAACGCCAAAUUUAGAACAAAAUUAAGGACUGCUUCAGAACCACACACCGUUAGUCAGGAUUUAUACAAUCCCGUAUAUUCUGGAAAGUAGCUUAAUUACCUUAUUAUGCUUUCAGUAAGUGGCUGCUCUGAAAUCCAAAUAAUGAAACCGCAGAGGAACGAUAUACAUGUUGUUAGAAACAAAUGUUUAGAAUAUUG